UCUUGUGCUAACAAUCCUACAUUGCACAUGGAAGAUUGAACUAACUAAUGCAACUACUUCCUUUCUCUUUAUCAUAAAAGAGUAGUGUGUCUACUGAAAUAUAGUAUAAUAAAAUAAUCAAAUUAAAGUGUAAUUUUGGGCCCUUGAGAUUUCAUAGCAUCCAAAGGCAGUUGCUAUUUUAGAUUUUGGAGUUUGCAUUAAUAGAAUGGGAGUAUGG
RNAcentral lists this long non-coding RNA (217 nucleotides) under Elaeis guineensis (African oil palm). RNAcentral describes it as "long non-coding RNA (EGUI_LNC006676)". The record is from RNAcentral. Lineage: Eukaryota; Viridiplantae; Streptophyta; Magnoliopsida; Arecales; Arecaceae.